Long non-coding RNA from Ailuropoda melanoleuca (giant panda), 1455 nucleotides. RefSeq lists it as uncharacterized. The transcript has 3 exons. Lineage: Eukaryota; Metazoa; Chordata; Mammalia; Carnivora; Ursidae. The record is from RefSeq and is a predicted model, not a curated record.
GGCGGGGCCAACGCGAGCGCUCUGACUCCGCCCCCACCCAUCUUCGUCCUCUCCCUCCGCGAGUCCGCAGGAACGGCGCUGGGUAGUUUCUGCAGCCUCCGGGCUUGGAGGCUGGGCGGCGGCAGAAGCCGCUUGGUUUAGGGUUUUGCGCUCCCCAGUGGUGGAGCAGCGCUCUGGUGGUUAAUAGUGCCAGUCAGGGCAAGAGGAGCACCAACAGCCCAGGCAGUGAGGGCCCUGGUGAAUCCCUGGAGCAUGAGAUUUCUGUGUUCUGAAAGGUGUGUUCAUUUUGCUGUGGACAGAGGGGCUGGGACUCUCGACCACCGGGAAAUUGCUAUUGUCGAGGGUGGUGGGAAGGCAGCUGUUCAGAAGUUUUCGCUGGGUCUCCAGGGCAUGGCCGCUCAGGACACUGAGCCUCCAGCCCCCGUAGCUUCUGUGUGGGCAAUCAUAUUUCCCCCUAAGCUUGCUGAAGCCAGGUUGGGACUUUUUAAAAGGACACCUCACUAAAACGAAGAAGGAAAAAAAAUGCAAACGCACAGGGACAUACGACUUCAGAUGCCUGGAUUUCUCUUCCAAGAUAACAAAAAGCCAGUCACAAAUUAACCUGAGGUCCUGAAGUCUUUCCCUGUGUCUAGGAUUCCUUCAGCUCUAUGAAGCCCCAAAAGGUGAUGGCUUAAUAUCUCCUCUCCUCAUCCCAAGAAAUUAACUUUUCUGGGUUAACUUUGCCCCUUGACAGUCAGACUCUAAGAAUCUCACCUUUUUUCUCUUUUGGGAAGGAAAGCUUUGGCUUUCCUAUUCAGUAUGACCAACUAAGAGAGGGGAUUUUCAGAAGCCAGGCAUCUGAGGGAAUGGCACAGGCAGUCCAAAAAUAGGAUAUUCUGGAGCUAGACAAAAGAGAGACUUAGGGGAACAUCUUAAGAACACUUGGGGGGCCAUUGAUCCCAGGCACAUCAAGCCUUCUCUGUAGCUGAAAUCAAUAAAAGUAUAACCUCUGUUCUGUAGGGAGGAGAGUCCAUGACAGUUAUGAGACUUAGAAAGACUGUGUAUACUAAAUAUUAGAAGCCACAAACAUUCCAAAGUCUUCCCUUAACCUUUGAGAAAAUAGGGACCCAGAGUGCGAAGUGACUUCAGUACAGUUCAAACAGCUGAUUGGUAGACUUUCAACUUGCAGUCCAAUGUUCCCUAUGCGCCGCCACUAAAGAGACAAGCUGGGGGGAAGAGGGAGCUCAGGGUUGGCUCGCCGGACAGGAGGGGACCACUGUCGUAGUAGAAGAGGCAAGUUGCCAAGUCGAGCCUGGAGCAGCUGACUUGUUUAUUCGUGCUUCUCUGGCUCCUUGGCCAGGGUGGUCCAAACCAACCGCUCUCAGCCUGAGUACUCUUCUCCUCGUGAAGACUUGUACCUCAGCUGUGCUGGGUGCCUUGGGACAUACUGGGAGCAGUGUGCCCAGAAGGAGAAAG